This 858-nucleotide long non-coding RNA is filed under the name Capsicum annuum. Its description in RNAcentral is "long non-coding RNA (CANN_LNC022372)". Lineage: Eukaryota; Viridiplantae; Streptophyta; Magnoliopsida; Solanales; Solanaceae. The record is from RNAcentral.
UUCCAAAUAUUUUUCUAAAACUAAGUUUAAGGACUAUCUUCGGAUAGGAACUGAGGGGUGCCUAAUACCUUCCCCUUGAGUAACCAAAACCCUUACUUAGAAUCUCACCGAUUUUCACAGAUUAAAAAUAGAGUUUUCACAUUAUAAAAAAAGUUUUUCCUAAUUUUUUCUUAAAAGUUAGGUGGCAACUCAAAACAAAACAAGCUAAUAAUUUUUUAUAAAACCAGAAAGAGUCAUUACGGCCGCCAUACAUUGCGGACUAUUUCGGCCAGUCCGAAAAUUGGCGUGACAUUAAGUUCAUUCAAGAAUAUCAUGCUCGGGCGGUGGAAAUAUGAUGUUUUCUUCAGAAAUAGAAUUUUCAAGGCGCCCCCACUCUUCAACAAUUCCAUACCAACGUCUUCAUUUAAAUGAGGAAAGCCAUUUAGGGUUGGCUUCCUGAUCUACCUCAUUUUUCUGUUUUUUGCCUUAUAUGUAGUCAAUCUAAUUACCUUCUCCUUUUCAAUUCUCUCCCAGAUUUUGUGUGCACAAAUUAGUAACCAUAACAUCCACCAAAUUAUCAUCUAACACAUUCAAAUCCAUGGUUUCUUUCCCUUCUUUUAACAUAUUAGCUUUAGCCAAUCUUUUUUGGCCUUAUAUGUAGUCAAUCUAAUUACCUUCUCCUUUUCAAUUCUCUCCCAGAUUUUGUGUGCACAAAUUAGUAACCAUAACAUCCACCAAAUUAUCAUCUAACACAUUCAAAUCCAUGGUUUCUUUCCCUUCUUUUAACAUAUUAGCUUUAGCCAAUCUUUUUUGUUUUUUCCUACUCCCUUCUAUCUUUCCAUAUGAUUUACUUUGCUUAGAAAAAUCUGAUUUAAAACC